Lutra lutra (Eurasian river otter) is the source of this 105-nucleotide small nuclear RNA. The record is from RefSeq and is a predicted model, not a curated record. NCBI's taxonomy places the organism in Eukaryota, Metazoa, Chordata, Mammalia, Carnivora, Mustelidae.
GUGCUCGCUUCGGCAGCACAUAUACUAAAAUUGGAAUGAUACAGAGAAGAUUAGCAUGGCCCCUGCGCAAGGAUGACACAAUUAAAUGAUGGAAUCUGAGUGGCU